Molecule: non-coding RNA, 107 nt
Organism: Chelonoidis abingdonii (Abingdon island giant tortoise)
Lineage: Eukaryota; Metazoa; Chordata; Testudines; Testudinidae
Source: RefSeq, a predicted model, not a curated record
AGGGAAGUGGAUCGGACUGAAGAAUUUGUGGAUCUAAAUACGGAGGAGGCCUGGAAUUACUUCAAGUCAAAGUUGCAGAAACUAUCAGAAGCCUGCAACCCAAGAAA